UACGAAGGGGGCUAGCGUUGCUCGGAAUCACUGGGCGUAAAGGGUGCGUAGGCGGGUUUUUAAGUCAGAGGUGAAAUCCUGGAGCUCAACUCCAGAACUGCCUUUGAUACUGAAAGUCUUGAGUACGGGAGAGGUGAGUGGAACUGCGAGUGUAGAGGUGAAAUUCGUAGAUAUUCGCAAGAACACCAGUGGCGAAGGCGGCUCACUGGCCCGUAACUGACGCUGAGACGCGAAAGCGUGGGGAGCAAACAGG
This 253-nucleotide ribosomal RNA is filed under the name uncultured bacterium. RNAcentral's name for it is "partial 16S ribosomal RNA". It matches the Rfam family "Bacterial small subunit ribosomal RNA", at positions 524 to 776 of the family's 1533-position model. The record is from RNAcentral.